AGAUAACGACUACAAAUCUACCUCAAUCUGUGUUCUCAAAGGACUGAUAGCAGGCACCUGGUACAACAGCUGCAGUUCAAUUGAGCAUGGGCCAAAACUCUGAGUCAGCCAUCUUACCCCAUAAAUAGUGAUCAGCCCAAGAAUGAUAGCUCUUUCUUCUUGAGAAGGGAUGUGUUUUGAGGUUAUACCUGCUGCAGAGGUCCCUUAUUCCUUGGCAUCAAUAUACCUUGCUGAUAUAGCUCCUUGAAAUCCAGAUGGAAUAUGACCAUGAGAUUGUUUGCCAAGCAAGCCAAUAGUAUAUGGCAGUGCUGCAGUCCUAGCUGGGUUCUCAGGCAUGCUACUGUGGGAAAAGUGGCUUCAGAUGGAUGUGUGGGCUUUGGGUACUAUUGCACAGGAUUUUCAUCUCGUUAUAAAAAUUACCACCAGAAAAGCCGUUGGAAGAUAAAGAGAAAUUAA
This 456-nucleotide long non-coding RNA is filed under the name Phasianus colchicus (ring-necked pheasant). RNAcentral describes it as "lncRNA (ENSPCLG00000011292.1)". The record is from RNAcentral. Lineage: Eukaryota; Metazoa; Chordata; Aves; Galliformes; Phasianidae.